CCCUACUCCCAAAAUUUUCAAAACCCUCAGAAUUUUCAAACCCCACAAAAUAUUCAUCCCUACCGUCCCUCGACUCAAUUUCAACACACUCCUCCUCCACCCCAUAGAAACACAGCCUUUGAGGAGAAAGUGUUGACCGCCCUUCAAGGUUUGGAAACCAUUACACAAUUAGUGCACUCUCACACGCAAUCCAUCGCCAAGCUAGAAUCCCAAAUGGGGCAACUAGCUAAUGCACUGAACAAGCGAGAGGAAGGAAAGCUUCCAAGCCAACCACUAAGUAAUCCUAGGGGACAAU
This 295-nucleotide long non-coding RNA is filed under the name Phoenix dactylifera (date palm). RNAcentral's name for it is "long non-coding RNA (PDAC_LNC014213)". Lineage: Eukaryota; Viridiplantae; Streptophyta; Magnoliopsida; Arecales; Arecaceae. The record is from RNAcentral.